This 1087-nucleotide long non-coding RNA is filed under the name Citrus sinensis (sweet orange). Its description in RNAcentral is "long non-coding RNA (CSIN_LNC005589)". Lineage: Eukaryota; Viridiplantae; Streptophyta; Magnoliopsida; Sapindales; Rutaceae. The record is from RNAcentral.
UUACUGAAAACUCCUUUGUUGAGAACCUUUAUACGAUAUCCAAGAUGAAGAAUAAGGCAACAUAGAUGGGAGUGAUGGGGAUUGCUAGUUUGUACAAAAUAAGAACCAUAUUACAUUCCAGAAAAUGCAAAAUUAACUAGGCAUAAAUAUAGAAACUGGAUUAUAACUUGCAAUGUAAGAAUCAAAAGGAAACCAUGGAUAAAUAUCACAUCCUUGUAAUUGGUAUGCGAUCACAGGUUCUUAAAUAAUGACCAUUAUUUAGUGACCAUUAAAAAUUAAAAUAAUUAAAUAGUAUUACAUCAAAGAACAUAAAACUUACAGGAUCCUUAUUGCUCUCAUGCGUUGGGACUACAAUAUCCACCUCAGAAGAUAAUGGUGUUUGUACAUUUGAAUCCUGCAAAUCCAUAAAAAGAUACAUUAAAAUUAAAAUUAAAUUAAUUGUAGAAUAAUUAAGUAGUUUAAUCUUACCUUAAUUGUUGUCAUCUAAUUCUUCCUUUUUUGGCUCAUAAGAAGAUAAUGGUGUUUAUCAAACAACAUCCCAAACUUUGGCUCAUACUUUUUUGGUUUCACAUCCACAUCAUUAUCAGUUUUUUCAUUAUUUCCAUUUAAAUUGUUGUUAAUCUAAUUCUUCAAAAUCUUCGACUUUGUAGUUUUUUUUCCAAAUCCUUCAUUUUUAUACCAUGAAAAAUAAAUUGUAUUAAUCAUAUAUAAUUCAAACAAAAUCUACAUUUCCAAUAACUUAUUUCUAAUAAUUUUAAAAUAUAAAUACAAUAAAUCAAAACUUUCCUCAACAUGCUAAAUUUAAUUACCUACGUAGGUGAAAAAGGUCCAAAAUCGUCAAGCACACCGUCAACGGCGAUGUGAUCAGUGAUGGGCUGGUCGGCAAUGGGCGUGGCGUGACAGCGAUGAUGGCUGGUCAACAAUGGCCGUGGCGUGACAAGUUUUGUGGGUGAGUGACAGCCUGCUAGUGGGUGAGUAAAAGAGGCAGAUCGGGUUAGGGGUGGGCAAAAAAACCGUAGUCUUAAAAAAAUCGAACUGAACCGAUAAUUUUUUCUAAUUCGGUUCGGUUUUUAUUUUUUAAAAAAAC